Carassius auratus (goldfish) is the source of this 1264-nucleotide long non-coding RNA. RefSeq lists it as uncharacterized. The transcript is spliced from 3 exons. Lineage: Eukaryota; Metazoa; Chordata; Actinopteri; Cypriniformes; Cyprinidae. The record is from RefSeq and is a predicted model, not a curated record.
CAUGCCUGCACUUUAUAUGACCUAAUAAAUUAACAUAGACUGUAAGCAGUAAGAUAAACGAUACAGUCUGAAGACUUUUUAAUAUUUCUGUUCAAUCAAACCAUUCAAGUGUAAAUUAUAUCAUAAUUGUAAUAAAACAUAGAAAAUAAGGCAGAAUCAAAAAAAAAAUUGUCUGGUUUUCUGAGAAUAAAAAGAUUUAACACUUAUUCCUGAGAUUCUUGGUGCACCUCUUCCCUCCGCCUUUUUGAAUAUAUGAAGCAAUAUCAAAAUAAUACAGCACUAGAUGGGACUUUAAAUAUCAGAUUUGUAAAAUGAAUAAAAUUGCUAGUGUUUUAUAGCAGUCUUCACUGACAAUGGAAACUUCAGCAAACUGUAUGUAUAUACAGAGCAGAAGUGUAGGUAGUGUCACGUUUUUUUCUGUCACAAGUUGUUCUCACUGAAAAACCACUUCUUUUUUUUAUUUUCUGUUCAAAUGUAUGGCAAAGCAUCCUUUAAAUAUUAAUGCAGAAGCAGAAUUUAACCACACAUCGACAACAUAUCACUACAGAAAAGAAGAACACAAUCGGGAUCUGUGCACCAUAUAAAGACAUCAGUGAGACAGAGAUGCCACUAACUAAAUGUUUUUCUUCGGUUUUUAAGAAAAUAUUUGCAUUUCUGAAACGAUAUUCUUUUGUAUUCAUUUUUCUAUUGAGUCUUUUGUUAAUCGGAUUUGAAGAGUUCCUGGAAGCAAAAGUUUUCUCAUGCCCGUGCAGACAUGAUCUGAAUGUACAACUAACGGCGUGCGUCUUCAUCGGACCUGCUCUCUUUAUUUUCGAACUACUCUUCCUCUUUUUAAGGCCUUUUAGAGAGAAAUGCAGUCAUUUUUCUGAAGGAGCAGAUGAUGAUACUCAGCAGAACUGUCCUAAAGCUUUCACAUCAUGUCUGAUUCCACCUAUAAUGUGGGCCAUCAUUUUGUUACUCGAUGGAGAUUACUUUGCUUGUGCCAUGACAUAUUGGAAGGGAAUUUCCACAUUUGACAGUCAGCUCAACAGAUCAUGGUGUAAACCUAUCGAAAAGUUCAGAAAUGUGACAGCGCUUCGAAAUUUGACUCAAACACAUAUCCAUCAAUCUCAGAUAUAUGGUUAUGGUGUGAGCACGGUCUUCAUCGUCUUUCCAAUUAUCUGUGUGGGAAUUAUUGACUGCUGUGGAAAAUCUGCCUGCUGUUCCAGAGCUGGACGUGGCUGAACACAAAUGGACACAACCAUGAACAUCUAUCUAUCUUACC